Molecule: unclassified non-coding RNA, 355 nt
Filed under: soil metagenome
Description: partial contains 5.8S ribosomal RNA, internal transcribed spacer 2, and large subunit ribosomal RNA
Rfam family: 5.8S ribosomal RNA (bases 1-120)
Source: RNAcentral
GAUGAAGAACGCAGCGAAAUGCGAUAAGUAAUGUGAAUUGCAGAAUUCCGUGAAUCAUCGAAUCUUUGAACGCACAUUGCGCCCGCCAGUAUUCUGGCGGGCAUGCCUGUCCGAGCGUCAUUUCAACCCUCGAACCCCUCCGGGGGGUCGGCGUUGGGGAUCGGCCCUGCCUCUUGGCGGUGGCCGUCUCCGAAAUACAGUGGCGGUCUCGCCGCAGCCUCUCCUGCGCAGUAGUUUGCACACUCGCAUCGGGAGCGCGGCGCGUCCACAGCCGUUAAACACCCAACUUCUGAAAUGUUGACCUCGGAUCAGGUAGGAAUACCCGCUGAACUUAAGCAUAUCAAUAAGCGGAGGA